AGUGAACGCUGGCGGUAGGCCUAACACAUGCAAGUCGAACGGCAGCACAGUAAGAGCUUGCUCUUACGGGUGGCGAGUGGCGGACGGGUGAGGAAUACAUCGGAAUCUACUUUUUCGUGGGGGAUAACGUAGGGAAACUUACGCUAAUACCGCAUACGACCUACGGGUGAAAGCAGGGGAUCUUCGGACCUUGCGCGAUUGAAUGAGCCGAUGUCGGAUUAGCUAGUUGGCGGGGUAAAGGCCCACCAAGGCGACGAUCCGUAGCUGGUCUGAGAGGAUGAUCAGCCACACUGGAACUGAGACACGGUCCAGACUCCUACGGGAGGCAGCAGUGGGGAAUAUUGGACAAUGGGCGCAAGCCUGGUCCAGCCAUACCGCGUGGGUGAAGAAGGCCUUCGGGUUGUAAAGCCCUUUUGUUGGGAAAGAAAAGCAGCAGGUUAAUACCCCGCUGUUCUGACGGUACCCAAAGAAUAAGUACCGGCUAACUUCGUG
RNAcentral lists this ribosomal RNA (492 nucleotides) under uncultured bacterium. RNAcentral's name for it is "partial 16S ribosomal RNA". It matches the Rfam family "Bacterial small subunit ribosomal RNA", at positions 29 to 507 of the family's 1533-position model. The record is from RNAcentral.